Molecule: long non-coding RNA, 145 nt
Organism: Neopelma chrysocephalum (saffron-crested tyrant-manakin)
Lineage: Eukaryota; Metazoa; Chordata; Aves; Passeriformes; Pipridae
Exons: 3
Source: RefSeq, a predicted model, not a curated record
AGGGUGAAUCCGGCUCCCCUGGCGAGAACGGCUCCCCCGGCCCCAUGGGUCCCCGUGGGCUGCCUGGAGAGAGAGGACGUCCCGGCCCCUCCGGUGCCGCCGGCGCUCGUGGCAACGAUGGUCUCCCCGGUCCUGCCGGACCCCC